Eutrema salsugineum is the source of this 977-nucleotide long non-coding RNA. RefSeq lists it as uncharacterized. NCBI's taxonomy places the organism in Eukaryota, Viridiplantae, Streptophyta, Magnoliopsida, Brassicales, Brassicaceae. The record is from RefSeq and is a predicted model, not a curated record. The transcript is spliced from 4 exons.
UUUAAAGAAAUGGGGUAGGGUUGGAGAUGACCUAAGUGAUUCAUUCUCUUCUCUCUUCCAUCUUUCUCUCGUUCUCUUCUAUCUCUCUCGUCUCUGGGAUUUUUGUUUUUGUCUCCAUUUUUUUCUUCAAUCUAUUUCUCUUGUUUCCUUUUUUAUUUUACGCUCUGAUUUCUCUGAUUUCUCAUCUCUAUUCUCUACUUUUCAUUCCCGAUUCUGCUUUUCUGCUUUUCGAUUGCUUCUCUUCUCUUCGUGGCUGUUAGGGCAAAGUCGAGUAGAGGUCGAGACUGAAUCUUCCGGAGCAUCGUGUUAAAACUGUGUGUGGUGUUUUAUCCGUCAUUGUCUAUGGAUACCGAGAAAAGCCAGUGUUAAUUACUUAUCCAGAUAUGACCCUUAACCAUAUGUCAUGCUUCCAAGGAUUAUUCUUUUGCGCUGAAGCAGCUUCCUUGCUGCUACAUAACUUCGUACUGGGUUUUGCUAAGGAGAUCCGAACAAAAGUUUAAUGCUCUGAUACUGAAGAGGCUUUUCAUGAGCAAAGUCAACAAGGCUCUUUCUCUCUAUACUUGUCACUUUCAUGAAGGGCAAGGAGGGUAAGAUUGCUGUGUUGGUUGGUGUUGCUAUUGAUAACUUCUUGAUUAUGAUGGCCUCAGUCGUUUGAAACAGUUUUUAGCCUUGAACAAGCUCAAUCUCCGACAGCAUAUAUGUCUUCUCAAGCACCGGAAACCGCAGCCACCAACGCAGCAGCCACAUCAACACUCACAGCAGCAGGCAACGCACCAGGCACCCCACCAGAAACCUUACCAUCCACCUCUCCAUCUUAAAACUUUCAUGUUUGAGAUUAUACAUUUUGGAUAUUUUGUUUCAUGUUUUCGAUUUUCUUUGUGUAAUAGAAACAUAUUGACUUUUUGGUUUUGGUAUUUGUAGUAAGUUUCGAAAAUCGAAUCGGAUUUAAGGAAUUUAUUUUUUUUUUCUUUUGUUUA